UUAAACUUGAGAGUUUGAUCAUGGCUCAGAACGUACGCUGGCGGCACGCCUAACACAUGCAAGUCGAACGCAGUAGCAAUACUGAGUGGCGAACGGGUGAGUAUAAUGUGGGUAUCUGCCUU
Molecule: ribosomal RNA, 122 nt
Filed under: Candidatus Pelagibacter sp.
Lineage: Bacteria; Pseudomonadati; Pseudomonadota; Alphaproteobacteria; Candidatus Pelagibacterales; Candidatus Pelagibacteraceae
Description: partial 16S ribosomal RNA
Rfam family: Bacterial small subunit ribosomal RNA
Source: RNAcentral